UUUAAGAUCCAAAUAUAAAGUUUAUAGCUUUUUUUAGAA
RNAcentral lists this transfer RNA (39 nucleotides) under Coptocephala scopolina. Its description in RNAcentral is "partial transfer RNA-Leu". The record is from RNAcentral. Lineage: Eukaryota; Metazoa; Arthropoda; Insecta; Coleoptera; Chrysomelidae.